Molecule: ribosomal RNA, 300 nt
Filed under: uncultured Bacteroides sp.
Lineage: Bacteria; Pseudomonadati; Bacteroidota; Bacteroidia; Bacteroidales; Bacteroidaceae
Description: bacterial SSU rRNA
Rfam family: Bacterial small subunit ribosomal RNA
Source: RNAcentral
CGUAUCCAACCUGCCGAUGACUCGGGGAUAGCCUUUCGAAAGAAAGAUUAAUACCCGAUGGCAUAGUUCUUCCGCAUGGUAGAACUAUUAAAGAAUUUCGGUCAUCGAUGGGGAUGCGUUCCAUUAGGUUGUUGGCGGGGUAACGGCCCACCAAGCCUUCGAUGGAUAGGGGUUCUGAGAGGAAGGUCCCCCACAUUGGAACUGAGACACGGUCCAAACUCCUACGGGAGGCAGCAGUGAGGAAUAUUGGUCAAUGGGCGAUGGCCUGAACCAGCCAAGUAGCGUGAAGGAUGACUGCCC